AUUGAACGCUGGCGGCGUGCUUUACACAUGCAAGUCGAACGGCAGCGCGGUCUUCUUCCUGGCGGCUAGUGUCGAACGGGUGAGUAAUACAUCGGAACGUGCCCAGUAGGGGGUUAUAGCUCGUCGAAAGCCGGAUUAAUACCACCUACUACCUGAUGGUGAAAGCGGGGGAUCUUCGGACCGCUCGCGAUUUGAGCGGCCGAUUGCAGAUUAGCUAGUUUGUUGGGUAAAGGCCUACCAAGGCGACGAUCGGUAGCUGGUCUGAGAGGACGAACAGCCCCAGUGGGACUGAGAGACGGCACAGAGUCCUACGGGCGGCAGAAGUGGGGACUUGUGGCAACUGGGCGGAAGACUGCUCAAGCAACGCAGGGUGUGUGAUGCAGGCCUGCGGGUGGUAAAGCAGUUUUGGCGUGAAAGAAAAGGACUGUGCCAAUCCAAGGGUUAGAUGCCGGUACCCGUAGAAUAACACCCGGCUAAUUCCGGG
RNAcentral lists this ribosomal RNA (484 nucleotides) under uncultured bacterium. RNAcentral describes it as "partial 16S ribosomal RNA". It matches the Rfam family "Bacterial small subunit ribosomal RNA", at positions 30 to 507 of the family's 1533-position model. The record is from RNAcentral.